RNAcentral lists this ribosomal RNA (386 nucleotides) under uncultured Anaerolineaceae bacterium. RNAcentral describes it as "bacterial SSU rRNA". It matches the Rfam family "Bacterial small subunit ribosomal RNA", at positions 984 to 1382 of the family's 1533-position model. The record is from RNAcentral. Lineage: Bacteria; Bacillati; Chloroflexota; Anaerolineae; Anaerolineales; Anaerolineaceae.
ACAUACAAGUAGUAGGGAAAGGAAACUGGACGACCCUUCGGGGAGCUUGAACAGGUGCUGCAUGGCUGUCGUCAGCUCGUGUCGUGAGAUGUUCGGUUAAGUCCGCUAACGAGCGCAACCCUCGCUGUGUGUUACAAGUGUCACACGGAACUGCCGGUCAUAAACCGGAGGAAGGUGGGGAUGACGUCAAGUCAGCAUGGCCUUUAUAUCCUGGGCUACACACACGCUACAAUGGGAAGGGACAAUAGGUUGCGAAGCCGCGAGGCGGAGCCAAUCCAGCAAAACUUCCCUCAGUUCAGAUUGCAGGCUGCAACUCGCCUGCAUGAAGUUGGAGUUGCUAGUAAACGCAGGUCAGCCAUACUGCGUUGAAUACGUUCCCGGGGCUU